GUCAGGAUGGCCGUCCUAAGGCGCUGCGUUUAGAUCACAUUCCGGUUCUGUGGGCGUGGGUUCGAAUCCCACUUCUGACA
Trichonephila clavipes is the source of this 80-nucleotide non-coding RNA. NCBI's taxonomy places the organism in Eukaryota, Metazoa, Arthropoda, Arachnida, Araneae, Nephilidae. The record is from the annotation of a GenBank genome assembly.